GCGGGUGUAGUUCAAUGGUAGAACAUCAGCUUCCCAAGCUGAGAAUGAGGGUUCAAUUGCCCUCACCGGUC
RNAcentral lists this transfer RNA (71 nucleotides) under Gammaproteobacteria bacterium. Its description in RNAcentral is "tRNA-Gly". It matches the Rfam family "tRNA". From Rfam's summary of the family: Transfer RNA (tRNA) molecules are approximately 80 nucleotides in length. Lineage: Bacteria; Pseudomonadati; Pseudomonadota; Gammaproteobacteria. The record is from RNAcentral.